Triticum aestivum (bread wheat) is the source of this 1168-nucleotide long non-coding RNA. RefSeq lists it as uncharacterized. The transcript has 3 exons. NCBI's taxonomy places the organism in Eukaryota, Viridiplantae, Streptophyta, Magnoliopsida, Poales, Poaceae. The record is from RefSeq and is a predicted model, not a curated record.
CUCUUCUCCAUGCGUUCACCUAAAAGAAAAUCUUCUCUCUGUUACUAAGAAAAAGUAAAAAAGAAAAAAGAAAAAGCUCCCUUCCCGUUCCCCAUUCUCCCUCCCCAGUGUUGGAUAACGCCGCCGCCGCCGCCUCCCAUCUUCUCGUCGUUCUCGGAGGACGAGGGCAGGAAGAAUAUCGCCUCCGGUGGCUGCACCGUCGUGCCCUCCAGCCGCGCCGCCGUAUCAACGGGACCUUGCGCGGCUCCCUAUUAUUUCAGCUCCACCCGCGCCACCAUCGACGGCGCGGCUCCUCGCGCGGCUGCAGCGGCGCUCCUGGCCGGUAGAGGAGUGAGAGGCCACUGCUUCCUCAGCAUGGUCCUGCUCGCCGACGACGAAGCCCUCCGAGGAGACGGCUCCACUGCUCCGAGCUCCUCCGACCUACUGCUGCCAGCGCCAUGGAGAGUGUAGAGAUGAUCUGAAAUAAGAGUGACACGGGGCCGGAGGAAGGCAGCAGCGGCGGCGCCGUACGCACAACGUACGCCGUGCGUUCGGACGAGUGACGAAGCCAGCCGUCACGGUUUCCUUUCCGUACCCGACGCUAUGCCACGCCCGCCAGCCGUCGUGCUCCGAGCUCCGGCCGCCUUCCUUCCAGAUCCGGCGCCUGCGCGCCGUUUCCCACCGGAUCCGGCGAGAAUCGACCGGUCCUCGCCGACGGCGCCACCGCAAGCCCCUGGCUGCCGCUGGUCUCGUCUGCGUCGUGGGCGACGCAUCGGCCCUUCUUGCUUGCCCGCCUCUCCUUCAAGCCUCUCCAUUUUCUCUUUAGUCUCCGCGCGCGCCCCCCGCCUCCCUGCCGCCGCCUGAUGUGACGCCCGAGUGCAGCGCCGCCGCCCCCUGCAAAAAACGAAAGGUAAGGAUCGCGGGUUGAAUACUCCCAACUCCAGGGUUCUUUUUGUAAAAACGAAACGUUUUCUCAUAUUAGUAACUUAAAAUAGGACUGCGGGUUGAUUUCAUGUAAACUGAGGGGCCUUUCUGUAAAAUUGCCACGACGUACGACCAGAAGCAUUCCGUGCUUUAUUAGUAGGGAAAGACUAGCAAAAGGGCCCGUGCGUUGCAACGGGAGGAAACAUCGGUUACUUUGCAAAUCUGACAAAAUGUAAAAGGGCUCGUGCGUUGCAACGGGAGGAAA